CCCAAUUUCCCGGCGCAAGCAGUGGUACUCGCAGACGAGCGUGAUGGGAUUCGUGCUAUGGACCCUGCUUACCCCAGAAUCAGCGAGCUGAAUCUGGAAAUAAACAGGGUAGUCAACGAACAUAAGCGGAAUUUGUGGCUGGAACACUUGGAGCAAUGUAACUUAGGCACCGGUGCAGGCAAACUGUGGGCCACAGUUAAGUCUCUCUUGAACCCCGGUAGACGGGACGACAGGACCUCAGUCACUUUUGGCGAGAUAACCGUGACUGAUCCGAAGAGAUGCGCCAGGUUGUUCAACCGUCAAUUUAUUGUGCAUCCCGAGAGAGACAGGGCAAGGAGGAGAGCCAUUCGCCAUAUUCGUGGUCUCCGAGCCGAUGAACAGCCAUCACAAUUUACCGUGGGUGAAGUUACAAAUGUCAUCUGGCGCCAAAUCAUAUAAGGCAUUGGGCCCCGACGGAAUCUCUACAUUGAUGCUGAAGAAUCUGGAUUCACCUGGAGUUGAGUACCUUACCACUGUCCUCAACCUGUCAUUGAACACUUUCAUAGUUCCCGAUGUCUGGAAAAUGGGCAGAGUGAUCCCGCUACUGAAGCCUGGAAAAGACCCGAGUUUAAGGGAGUCGUACAGACCGAUCUCCCUUCUCUCACUAGUGGCGAAGACGCUUGAGGCAUUACUCCUCCCGAGCCUCGUAGGAGAAUUUCCAUUCGCCGAGCGUCAACAUGGAUUUCGGAAACUGCACAGCACAACAACAGCUUUGCAUGCCAUAACCACACACAUUUGCCGUGGCUUCAAUCAACCCAGGCCAUGUGAUAGGACGGUCCUCGUGGCACUGGACCUAUCGAAGGCAUUCGACACGGUCAGCCAUGCCAAAUUAUUUGAGGACAUUGCCAACACGUCCCUCCAGCCAGGCCUAAAACGAUGGGUCGCGAAUUAUCUGUGUGGUCGCCAGUAUUUGUGGAAUUUAGGGAUAAGAAGUCGAAACACCGUAGAGUGAAACAGGGAGUUCCCCAAGGUGGGGUGAUAUCUCCGGCUCUGUUUAAUCUCUACCUAUCCUCCAUCCCACCCCCUCCAGACGGCAUAGAGAUCGUUUCAUAUGCGGAAGAUUGUACGAUCAUGGCAUCAGGCCCCCCACCCAUUGAUGACAUCUGCGAUAGGUUGAACGCCUACCUCAACGAGCUUGGCUCAUAUUUCGCUGCAAGAAAUCUGAAGAUAUCCGCCACUGAGCUGACUGUGAUGGUCGAUGGAGAAAUGAUUCCGACCAUCAAGUGUCCCAAAAUACUUGGCGUCACAUUUGACAGCUCUUACACUUUCUCCCCACAUGCCACAGCAAUCUGCAAUAGUCAAAAGUAGAAACAAGGUCCUCAAAUCACUCGCUGGCAGCACUUGGGGUGCAGACAAAGAACCCUUGUUAACCACGUACAAAGCAAUUGGCCGGUCUGUGGUAAGUUAUGCAGCGCCAGUGUGGUCUCGACAACGCAGUGGAAUAAGAAGCGGGCUGUCUCCUCAGUUCUCAUGUGGACCUCCUCCAUCAGGAGACAAAGAUCCUACCAGUGCGAAGACAUAACUACAUGCUAUCUAAACAAUACCUUUUGGGCUGUUAUCGCAGAAACCAUCCAAAUCAUCAUCUUGUGGAUAGAUAUCCACCGUCCAGAAGCCUUAAAGUAGAUCUACACGAUCUAGAGCGUGAGGUUCAGCGCUACAAGAGAGAACCUCUAGAUCAAGCGGGUCUGAACAACAUUCAUGCAGACACGGUAGCAGACGCGGUAAUUGGCUACCGGGUGAAUGUAGUCCUUGGAGAACGACCGCCACCCGUUGCACCCGAAGAAAUCAUUGAAAAGCAUGAAGCAAACAACGGUUUAUUCCGGCCUGGAAAUCAUCUGGUAAAUCACGAUGAUCGCUGAAAAGGAGCAACAUCAUCCGCAAUAAUGAAAAUUGAACAAAUAGAUAAAUCUUAACAGUACGGUAGAUUAUUUACAUAAAAAAGAAAAAGCAAAGGGCCCAAGACUGAACCUUGAGGAACACUGGAGAUGAAAUAUAAUAUACAUUGCCACUAAUGUCUAUAAAUUGAGACCUUCCACACAAAUAUGCAAGGACUGGAAUAUUGGCUGGAACAUUGAGGUCCGAUAUGUGUGGUGUUCAUUGCUGUGAUGAGAGGCUUAGCUGCAAGUUUCCGGACAGGUUGCGGAUAGUAGAGUGCCCCAUACGGAGAAGCUGCAACGGCAAUCGCGGACAAUUAGCGAUACCGAGCGGAGAGCCACAGUGACAGGCCGGGCGGCACCAGCUCUUGCACAAUCACUGAGUGCCUAUGAUGCUCGAUAUAACAAGGCGAGUUAUUGGCGCUCUUAAAUAACCAAUGGCCAUUCUGUUCCCACGGCCAUCGGUCCUUUGGACCGGAACGAGCUUGCUCACUUACGGGAGGACGAGGAUCGCCACCUCCACAUGAAAAUGUGGCUACAAAAAACGACAUCAACAUUUUAAAACUAAACGCUUUAGUUAAGUCAUGGAAAUCAACACUCUAUCUAAACAAGCAAAUUGCGCAAGAAUCUGAUCCUUCAUAAUGUUCUUACAAACCAUCGAUAAUGAGUAUAAUUGAAAUGGGCGUCAGAUCAUCCGGACCACUGACAGAAAUUGUUUAAGAAAUAGCCUACAUGACUACACAUGCGGUUUUCCAAGCAGUUGGAAAAACAGAGGAAGUUAACUUCAUGACCCCCAAUGCAGCCAUAUACGCGAAGAACUAUCCACAAACCAUCCGCGGGCAUCCCCUUGAACCGUCCCAAAUAGUGAAUCUGCCUCUCCUUAGGAUCUAUUCGAGAUCUAGGUCCAUUCGCUUUGUACUUCAAGUAGGCCAGGCCUCCAGGAACUAAUGAAAUGAUAUCCUCAAAAAGUGAAGAGACGAGAAAACACUUAUCAUCGACUUCCGGUGCGUUAAAAAUAGCUGAGAAAUCAAAAUCCAUUAAAUAACUAAGCAUACCAAACAUAUCAAUGUGCUUGUAAUCAUGGUAUUCCACAAAUGUCUCCGCUUUACUUAAAUGGAUGUCUAAAACUCCAAAUGCUAAUGCAUGGCUAGAGAUUGCACGGCACUGAACCUGACCAGUUGUAAACCUAUUUUAAUUACAACUCAAGAGCAUAAAUUCAAUCAGACUCGUUAUACCGUGCUCUACAUCGUAAUGAGUGAAAUAUUAAAUAAGUUGCAAUUAGAAGAAACAGAGAUUCACAACUCUCCAAAUUCGAACUACAAAAAACCGGUUUAUGCCGAAGUGAUGAAGAAAUAUAUAUGCCAACACCACCACCUCUGGAAACUUUACGAUUGUUUCCAUGGAAGGUGUAUCCUGAAACUUCAACAGAACGUGAAGAAACCGCAGACUUUAGCUAAGCCAUAGACUGUCUAAAAAUAUCAAGAAUAGACUCACAUAAAAUCGCAAUUUGAAUUGUUAAUUUUAAUGGGUCAUUUUUAAGCAAAUAAAAGGUUUAAUAGAAAUAAUGUAAUCAUUAUAAAGAUAAUAUUUGAA
Molecule: long non-coding RNA, 3506 nt
Organism: Stomoxys calcitrans (stable fly)
Lineage: Eukaryota; Metazoa; Arthropoda; Insecta; Diptera; Muscidae
Exons: 2
Source: RefSeq, a predicted model, not a curated record